RNAcentral lists this long non-coding RNA (1158 nucleotides) under Mus musculus (house mouse). RNAcentral's name for it is "RIKEN cDNA 5730420D15 gene, transcript variant 2 (5730420D15Rik)". The record is from RNAcentral. Lineage: Eukaryota; Metazoa; Chordata; Mammalia; Rodentia; Muridae.
ACGCCACUGCCCAGGUCGACUACCACUCCCGGGCACCUCGGGAAGCGAACCAGAGACUGUCCCCUCCGCCAGCAUCCUAGAAGGCCAGGAAAGAGACGAGCUGAGCGCCUCCUUAAAGCUGCGCAGACUGCCCUCAAUCCCUCCCCCCUGGAGCUCCAACUGGUAGUCCCCUGCAUCAGCCUUGCCCAGCUUCUCCUUUCCUCCUCAGCUCAACUCCUGCUUGCCCUUCGGGAGACCCACCCUGGCCACCCUACAGAGGAGGUGCCCUUACCUGUGCCCGGGUGGGGUGCGGGGUCACAGGCCUGUUGCCCUGAAGUAGAGCGUAUCUUGUUGACCUUGAACUUCGGCAUUGAAGGACCCCUCUCCUGAGCUCUCAGCAUCACCUUUGGAGACGCCUAAUAGAAUGUGAGCAUCGUGUACUCUUCCUUCCAUUGCUCACAAAUGUGGCUGCUGCUUGCACACCAAGAACCAUCCUUAACAUGUAGGAGGCACUGGACAUCACUGAUUAAGGAGUAGCAUAUGUAAGCCUGGCUUAUUCACAGGAGUGACUCAUGCCCUGGGACACAAGGCCUUGUCUAGUGUCACAACCCCUUUAGGCAACUAGAUCCUUGUCUUUGAGUAUAAAUGCUUCAGGAGAAACAGCAAUGAUAACCAGCUGCAGACUUGACAAGAAUAAUGCUGCUGUAUGGAUCGGGGAAGUGGCUCAGUUGGACGGUUCUUGCCAUGCAAGCAGGAGAAGCUGAGUUUGGAUCCCAGCACGCAGAGAAAAGCACCACAGCGUACGUGUAUGACCCCUGCACUGGGGCAAGCGGUGAAGCACAGAGAAAGAAGGGUCCCUGGAAUGUGUUGGCCAUGCAGGCAGGCCAAACUGCUAAGCUUCAGGAGCAGUGAGCGUAUUGGUUACUUCUCUGUUGCUGUGACCAAAACACCAUAACUUAAAGAAGGAAGAGUUUAUGUAGGGGCUACAGUCCCAGAGGAGGAGAAAUGGUAUCAGAAGACCAAAACAGGAAGCUAAGAAAUCAUAGCUUCAACUGUAAACACAAAGUAGAAAGCAAAAAUGUACGGAUGAAGCUAUGAACCCUCAAAACUGUCCCCAAUGACAUAUUUCUUCCAACAAGGCUGUUUUACCCCACUAAACAUCUCUACAACCAAGUAUUC